RNAcentral lists this ribosomal RNA (435 nucleotides) under Triticum aestivum (bread wheat). Its description in RNAcentral is "partial small subunit ribosomal RNA". Lineage: Eukaryota; Viridiplantae; Streptophyta; Magnoliopsida; Poales; Poaceae. The record is from RNAcentral.
AUGGCCGCUGCUUCACUCAUCCUUAGCCGCUGCCGAUGCACAGCAAGCAGCUUCUGCCGCUCAGAUGUGCCUACGACAGGACGACCGCUCCUCCUUCCUUUGCCUGAAUGUGUCCGCGGCAAGAUGGUCGUUCCUCCUUCUGUCGCUGGGAGAGAUGAAGACGGCCAGUUGUUGGGAGAAAGACAAGCAGGAGGAGAGAUGACCGGGAGGAGACGGGCACGGGCUCGAAAUCGGGAGGCUCUGGGGUCGCGCGCCCGGCCAGAACGGAGCUCCGCCGGCCACCCGGCCACGGGCUCAAAAUCGGGAGGCUCCGGGGUCGCGCGCCCAGCCAGAACGGAGCUCCGCCGGACACCCGGCCACGGGUUCAGAAUCGGGAGGCUCCAGGGUCGCGCGCCUGGCCAGAACAGAGCUCCGCGUCGACGUCCUGGUGGAUGA